GUCAAAACGACUCUCGGCAACGGAUAUCUCGGCUCUCGCAUCGAUGAAGAACGUAGCGAAAUGCGAUACUUGGUGUGAAUUGCAGAAUCCCGUGAACCAUCGAGUCUUUGAACGCAAGUUGCGCCCGAAGCCUUUAGGCCGAGGG
This 145-nucleotide ribosomal RNA is filed under the name Pyrus salicifolia. RNAcentral's name for it is "5.8S ribosomal RNA". It matches the Rfam family "5.8S ribosomal RNA", at positions 1 to 135 of the family's 154-position model. Rfam says of the family: 5.8S ribosomal RNA (5.8S rRNA) is a component of the large subunit of the eukaryotic ribosome. It is transcribed by RNA polymerase I as part of the 45S precursor that also contains 18S and 28S rRNA. Functionally, it is thought that 5.8S rRNA may be involved in ribosome translocation. Lineage: Eukaryota; Viridiplantae; Streptophyta; Magnoliopsida; Rosales; Rosaceae. RNAcentral also lists the same sequence under 1 other name. The record is from RNAcentral.